UCUCACUUCUCCCUCUGAUCCUCUCUGAGCUCUCUCCGAGACUCCGACUCCGACUCUCCCUUUCUCGCCUCUCGCCUCUCGGUCUCUCCAUCUUCUCCUUCUCUUCUCUUCUCUAGUUCUCCCGUCUGGGAGUCUCUGACGUCUGCAGGAGGAACCAGUCGUCUGCGGCCGUGGGCAACUUCAGCUCGAGUUCAAGGUCAGCCGGCUGCUCCGCCUUCAGCUCAAGGUGAGGUACCCAUGGUCGCUCCCCAAAAGAAACUUGUACUUUCUCCUGAAUCUGCUGGAUAAAGUCCUCCAUGGUCGUUUUUCAUUAGCUUUCUCUUCGUUUCUUGGUUCAACCUUUCUUCUUUUGCUUUUCCCUCUCCGUCUCCUCGGUCACAUCCGAACGCCUCUCCCUGGUUCGCACGAAGAACUAGAUACACGCUCUGCUCAUCUCUUUUGCAGCGUGAGGAACUGUGUGCGUUCUGUGUUUGUAUACAUGUAUAAGGUGGACUCUGGAAACACAUGGAUAUGAUCAUGUGACUUGGGAACUGCCCCAGUAUUCAGUACAUAUAAGCCUGAGUAGAUGGCUCUCGAGUUCCUCCGUGGAGAGCCUUCGAAUGAAAUUCUGAUGUAUACGGUUUUGGUGCAAUAUUGUGGGAGCUUGUAACGAUGCAACAACCAUGGGUUGAGCUUAGCCCUGCACAAGUCAUCUAAAGCUUCUGCAUGUGGAAGAUGAGUCACCGUCCUUGCUUGUGAAGCUUUUGCAAUUGGGAAAUGACAUAAUCUCUAUGUUAACAGAAUCAAGAAUGUGUCUCCUGCUUCCUACAGGCUUGCGGUCUCUGUCAUCCAAAAUUGCAUAGAAACGCUUGAGCCUUUUGUCUGAAUGUUCUUGGCAUCAUCAUUUAUUGAUAGAGGAGCUAGAGGCAGUGAACUUGGAGAAGUUUAUCACGAACUUGAAAUUUUCCACUGUGCCCUUCAGAUUUUUUUUGCUGUGAUCUCGAACUUGAUACAGUCAUUGCUUGUAUGUAUAAUGUAUUCCAAAAAUUGUUGACAAUGUGAACAUAAUUAAUGCCAGGUGGUUUUACA
Nymphaea colorata (pocket water lily) is the source of this 1068-nucleotide long non-coding RNA. RefSeq lists it as uncharacterized. The transcript is spliced from 4 exons. The record is from RefSeq and is a predicted model, not a curated record. NCBI's taxonomy places the organism in Eukaryota, Viridiplantae, Streptophyta, Magnoliopsida, Nymphaeales, Nymphaeaceae.